UUUAUGAACGCUAGCUACAGGCUUAACACAUGCAAGUCGAGGGGCAGCAUUUCAGUUUGCUUGCAAACUGGAGAUGGCGACCGGCGCACGGGUGAGUAACACGUAUCCAACCUGCCGAUAACUCGGGGAUAGCCUUUCGAAAGAAAGAUUAAUACCCGAUGGUAUAAUCAGACCGCAUGGUCUUGUUAUUAAAGAAUUUCGGUUAUCGAUGGGGAUGCGUUCCAUUAGGCAGUUGGUGAGGUAACGGCUCACCAAACCUUCGAUGGAUAGGGGUCCUGAGAGGAAGGUCCCCCACAUUGGAACUGAGACACGGUCCAAACUCCUACGGGAGGCAGCAGUGAGGAAUAUUGGUCAAUGGGCGCAGGCCUGAACCAGCCAAGUAGCGUGAAGGAUGACUGCCCUAUGGGUUGUAAACUUCUUUUAUAUGGGAAUAAAGUUUUCCACGUGUGGAAUUUUGUAUGUACCAUAUGAAUAAGGAUCGGCUAACUCCGUGCCAGCAGCCGCGGUAAUACGGAGGAUCCGAGCGUUAUCCGGAUUUAUUGGGUUUAAAGGGAGCGUAGGUGGACAGUUAAGUCAGUUGUGAAAGUUUGCGGCUCAACCGUAAAAUUGCAGUUGAUACUGGCUGUCUUGAGUACAGUAGAGGUGGGCGGAAUUCGUGGUGUAGCGGUGAAAUGCUUAGAUAUCACGAAGAACUCCGAUUGCGAAGGCAGCUCACUGGACUGCAACUGACACUGAUGCUCGAAAGUGUGGGUAUCAAACAGGAUUAGAUACCCUGGUAGUCCACACAGUAAACGAUGAAUACUCGCUGUUUGCGAUAUACAGUAAGCGGCCAAGCGAAAGCAUUAAGUAUUCCACCUGGGGAGUACGCCGGCAACGGUGAAACUCAAAGGAAUUGGCGGGGGCCCGCACAAGCGGAGGAACAUGUGGUUUAAUUCGAUGAUACGCGAGGAACCUUACCCGGGCUUAAAUUGCAUUUGAAUAUAUUGGAAACAGUAUAGCCGUAAGGCAAAUGUGAAGGUGCUGCAUGGUUGUCGUCAGCUCGUGCCGUGAGGUGUCGGCUUAAGUGCCAUAACGAGCGCAACCCUUAUCUUUAGUUACUAACAGGUCAUGCUGAGGACUCUAGAGAGACUGCCGUCGUAAGAUGUGAGGAAGGUGGGGAUGACGUCAAAUCAGCACGGCCCUUACGUCCGGGGCUACACACGUGUUACAAUGGGGGGUACAGAAGGCAGCUACCUGGUGACAGGAUGCUAAUCCCAAAAGCCUCUCUCAGUUCGGAUCGAAGUCUGCAACCCGACUUCGUGAAGCUGGAUUCGCUAGUAAUCGCGCAUCAGCCAUGGCGCGGUGAAUACGUUCCCGGGCCUUGUACACACCGCCCGUCAAGCCAUGAAAGCCGGGGGUACCUGAAGUACGUAACCGCAAGGAGCGUCCUAGGGUAAAA
RNAcentral lists this ribosomal RNA (1438 nucleotides) under uncultured organism. RNAcentral's name for it is "SSU rRNA". It matches the Rfam family "Bacterial small subunit ribosomal RNA". The record is from RNAcentral.